UUGCAGCCCGCGUUAAGGAUUGAAGCGGCAUCCUUUUGCUUUUUUGCAAAAGAUAUAGCGUAAAGCCUGACGCACU
This 76-nucleotide small RNA is filed under the name Mariniflexile fucanivorans. Its description in RNAcentral is "Flavo-1 RNA". It matches the Rfam family "Flavo-1 RNA". The record is from Rfam by way of RNAcentral. Lineage: Bacteria; Pseudomonadati; Bacteroidota; Flavobacteriia; Flavobacteriales; Flavobacteriaceae.